Molecule: unclassified non-coding RNA, 18 nt
Filed under: Bradyrhizobium sp. ORS 375
Lineage: Bacteria; Pseudomonadati; Pseudomonadota; Alphaproteobacteria; Hyphomicrobiales; Nitrobacteraceae
Description: tmRNA
Source: RNAcentral
CGCGGGUUCGAGUCCCGC